This is a non-coding RNA of Pantherophis guttatus, 317 nucleotides long. The record is from RefSeq and is a predicted model, not a curated record. NCBI's taxonomy places the organism in Eukaryota, Metazoa, Chordata, Lepidosauria, Squamata, Colubridae.
AGAGAUGCAAAUUUCGUCAUUCAGUUCUUGCUUGCAAACUCAUACAGAGGUACUGAUGUGGAGACCAAAGUUACGUGUGUGAGAUUCCCUACUACCCUGCACUACUAAAAUGACAUUCAGCUGUCCUGAUUGUGUCCAACCAAAGAAGCAUUCAGUCAAGGUUAACUCUCAAGCACCUUAAGACAUGGAAUGACUUGGGUCAUGCAACACACUGUAUCCUGAAGCACUGAAGAAAUCGAACUGUUGCUACUGUCAGGUAACACCACCCCCCAAACCAAAAUACUUACAGUUGCACUGGAGCUUCCCAAGGAACUUGU